GUCCGCACUGUAAACGAUGAUUACUCGCUGCUAGAGGGCAACUUUUAGUGGCUUAGCGAAAGCGAUAAGUAAUCCACCUGGGGAGUACGCCGGCAACGGUGAAACUCAAAGGAAUUGACGGGGGCCCGCACAAGCGGAGGAGCAUGUGGUUUAAUUCGAUGAUACGCGAGGAACCUUACCAGGGCUUGAAAGUUAGUGACCGACUCUGAAAGGAGUCUUUCCGCAAGGACACGAAACUAGGUGCUGCAUGGCUGUCGU
RNAcentral lists this ribosomal RNA (258 nucleotides) under uncultured bacterium. RNAcentral describes it as "partial 16S ribosomal RNA". It matches the Rfam family "Bacterial small subunit ribosomal RNA", at positions 793 to 1055 of the family's 1533-position model. The record is from RNAcentral.